AGCGGCGGACGGGUGAGUAACACGUGGGUAACCUGCCCAAGAGACUGGGAUAACACCUGGAAACAGAUGCUAAUACCGGAUAACAACACUAGACGCAUGUCUAGAGUUUGAAAGAUGGUUCUGCUAUCACUCUUGGAUGGACCUGCGGUGCAUUAGCUAGUUGGUAAGGUAACGGCUUACCAAGGCAAUGAUGCAUAGCCGAGUUGAGAGACUGAUCGGCCACAUUGGGACUGAGACACGGCCCAAACUCCUACGGGAGGCAGCAGUAGGGAAUCUUCCACAAUGGACGAAAGUCUGAUGGAGCAACGCCGCGUGAGUGAAGAAGGGCUUCGGCUCGUAAAGCUCUGUUGGUAGUGAAGAAAGAUAGAGGUAGUAACUGGCCUUUAUUUGACGGUGAUUACUUAGAAAGUCACGGCUAACUACGUGCCAGCAGCCGCGGUAAUACGUAGGUGGCAAGCGUUGUCCGGAUUUAUUGGGCGUAAAGCGAGUGCAGGCGGUUCAAUAAGUCUGAUGUGAAAGCCUUCGGCUCAACCGGAGAAUUGCAUCAGAAACUGUUGAACUUGAGUGCAGAAGAGGAGAGUGGAACUCCAUGUGUAGCGGUGGAAUGCGUAGAUAUAUGGAAGAACACCAGUGGCGAAUGCGGCUCUCUGGUCUGCAACUGACGCUGAGGCUCGAAAGCAUGGGUAGCGAACAGGAUUAGAUACCCUGGUAGUCCAUGCCGUAACGAUGAGUGCUAAGUGU
This 741-nucleotide ribosomal RNA is filed under the name uncultured bacterium. RNAcentral's name for it is "bacterial SSU rRNA". It matches the Rfam family "Bacterial small subunit ribosomal RNA", at positions 94 to 823 of the family's 1533-position model. The record is from RNAcentral.